Unclassified non-coding RNA from Pongo abelii (Sumatran orangutan), 117 nucleotides. It matches the Rfam family "Metazoan signal recognition particle RNA". From Rfam's summary of the family: The signal recognition particle (SRP) is a universally conserved ribonucleoprotein. It is involved in the co-translational targeting of proteins to membranes. The record is from Ensembl. Lineage: Eukaryota; Metazoa; Chordata; Mammalia; Primates; Hominidae.
GCUGGGUGUGGUGGCUCACGCCUGUAAUCCCAGCACUUUGGGAGGCUGAGGCAGGUGGAUCACCUGUGGUCGGGAGUUUGAGACCAGCCUGGCCAACAUGGUGAAACCCUGUCUCUA